AGAGUUUGAUCAUGGCUCAGAUUGAACGCUGGCGGCAGGCCUAACACAUGCAAGUCGAACGGUAACAGGAAACAGCUUGCUGUUUCGCUGACGAGUGGCGGACGGGUGAGUAAUGUCUGGGAAACUGCCUGAUGGAGGGGGAUAACUACUGGAAACGGUAGCUAAUACCGCAUAACGUCGCAAGACCAAAGAGGGGGACCUUCGGGCCUCUUGCCAUCGGAUGUGCCCAGAUGGGAUUAGCUUGUUGGUGGGGUAACGGCUCACCAAGGCGACGAUCCCUAGCUGGUCUGAGAGGAUGACCAGCCACACUGGAACUGAGACACGGUCCAGACUCCUACGGGAGGCAGCAGUGGGGAAUAUUGCACAAUGGGCGCAAGCCUGAUGCAGCCAUGCCACGUGUAUGAAGAAGGCCUUCGGGUUGUAAAGUACUUUCAGCGGGGAGGAAGGGAGUAAAGUUAAUACCUUUGCUCAUUGACGUUACCCGCAGAAGAAGCACCGGCUAACUCCGUGCCAGCAGCCGCGGUAAUACGGAGGGUGCAAGCGUUAAUCGGAAUUACUGGGCGUAAAGCGCACGCAGGCGGUUUGUUAAGUCAGAUGUGAAAUCCCCGGGCUCAACCUGGGAACUGCAUCUGAUACUGGCAAGCUUGAGUCUCGUAGAGGGGGGUAGAAUUCCAGGUGUAGCGGUGAAAUGCGUAGAGAUCUGGAGGAAUACCGGUGGCGAAGGCGGCCCCCUGGACGAAGACUGACGCUCAGGUGCGAAAGCGUGGGGAGCAAACAGGAUUAGAUACCCUGGUAGUCCACGCCGUAAACGAUGUCGACUUGGAGGUUGUGCCCUUGAGGCGUGGCUUCCGGAGCUAACGCGUUAAGUCGACCGCCUGGGGAGUACGGCCGCAAGGUUAAAACUCAAAUGAAUUGACGGGGGCCCGCACAAGCGGUGGAGCAUGUGGUUUAAUUCGAUGCAACGCGAAGAACCUUACCUGGUCUUGACAUCCACAGAACUUUCCAGAGAUGGAUUGGUGCCUUCGGGAACUGUGAGACAGGUGCUGCAUGGCUGUCGUCAGCUCGUGUUGUGAAAUGUUGGGUUAAGUCCCGCAACGAGCGCAACCCUUAUCCUUUGUUGCCAGCGGUCCGGCCGGGAACUCAAAGGAGACUGCCAGUGAUAAACUGGAGGAAGGUGGGGAUGACGUCAAGUCAUCAUGGCCCUUACGACCAGGGCUACACACGUGCUACAAUGGCGCAUACAAAGAGAAGCGACCUCGCGAGAGCAAGCGGACCUCAUAAAGUGCGUCGUAGUCCGGAUUGGAGUCUGCAACUCGACUCCAUGAAGUCGGAAUCGCUAGUAAUCGUGGAUCAGAAUGCCACGGUGAAUACGUUCCCGGGCCUUGUACACACCGCCCGUCACACCAUGGGAGUGGGUUGCAAAAGAAGUAGGUAGCUUAACCUUCGGGAGGGCGCUUACCACUUUGUGAUUCAUGACUGGGGUGAAGUCGUAACAAGGUAACCGUAGGGGAACCUGCGGUUG
RNAcentral lists this ribosomal RNA (1522 nucleotides) under Escherichia coli. Its description in RNAcentral is "bacterial SSU rRNA". It matches the Rfam family "Bacterial small subunit ribosomal RNA". The record is from RNAcentral. Lineage: Bacteria; Pseudomonadati; Pseudomonadota; Gammaproteobacteria; Enterobacterales; Enterobacteriaceae.